Non-coding RNA from Hysterangium stoloniferum, 97 nucleotides. Lineage: Eukaryota; Fungi; Basidiomycota; Agaricomycetes; Hysterangiales; Hysterangiaceae. The record is from the annotation of a GenBank genome assembly.
GGUUUCGUGGUCUAGUGGUAUGAUUCGCCCUUAGGGACUUUGCCGGCAACGGUGAAGCUACUGGGCGAGGUCUCGGGUUCAAUUCCCGACGAAGCCC